GUUACCGCUGCUAUGUACCGUGUACUUAGUGCACUUGUAGCCGCUUGCAUUGUUUACUGCGACAGUGACGUGCACAAGCUCAGCAGUGGCGAGCUUCUGUGCUUCAGUUGCAGUGAAAGUGUGGCGCGCAGCGGAGCCGAGGAUUGCACGAAUAAACGAGAAAUAGUCUGGACAAACCGCAUUAAGCCUGUUUAUAGUAGAUAUAGCUAUGUGAUGUUGACAUGCACGUUGUGACGUCAUCAGGCUCCGGUAGUCACUACGCCAAUGACGCAUUGUAUGAGGCAUUUUAUGAACGAGGAUAAUAACAAAUAUGACGACCGCAGAGCGCUUCACAUGUACACAUACGUGUGCGGUGGAGCCACGUGGAGCUGCAACCACCACCAGCUCGGUGCAGGUGAAUGCCUGUAUCAGUGUGCGUGUAGAAUGGCUCUGAGCGAGUCCGCCGGGAACCAGCGGCCCGGUGUCGGCGAGUGUCGGUGAGGUCACGGCACCGUUGCGGACCGGUCCCGGCGGUUGUUGCCCGAGGGAAGCCGCCGCUCUCGCCCCACUACUGUAUAAACACGCUACUGUCUUCACUGCUCAUAAUCAUUGUGUAUUCAUCAAAUGUAAUGUGUGUUCUAUGAAUGUUUGUUAACACUUAGCCUCUGUUGGACUAGAGCGGGCAUUCAAGAUGUGUAGAUAAAUGAUUAAGAUCUUGAAUUUCGCCAAAUUAUAUAAUCGAUUUAUUACUAUUUUAUGUUCUCGUUAAUAUGUUACGCGGUGUGCAAUGUUCCUUUGAAAGCGAACAGCGUGAGUACAGAAUAUCUCAGACAACACGAGUUUAAAUUAAGCAGUAGUAACAUUAGAGUGUUGUCGUGGUGCAGAGGACGAGACGCAUGCGCCUGUGCCGGCGUCCCGCCCCGCAGCUGUUUAAAGAAAUGCCCAGUCUAGCAUGCGCUCGCGACUGACUUCCACAACGAACGUAAAACAUUUGUGUCAUAAAGUGUAAACCGAAAUGCGUUCCGAUUUGUAGGAUGUGACAGGAUCGUGACAGCUGUGAUGCAGUUGAGGAGAAGACCAGAUUUAUAAAACUGAGACUAGGAGCUGGUGGCACAGGUGGGCAGCGGCUCCGGCGACUACUUAAGACCGGCGGCCCGAGAGAGCGUCCUCACAUCCUGUGCACGAAUAAACGGCCAUAAGCUUGUUUAUGUGGUAGCUGUAAGAAACGGUGGAGCGAGUCUGAGUUUUGAAUAAAAACUGAGUAAUGGUGAAGAUAAUCGCAAUAAAGUAAAAUGUGUUGAAGAUUACAUAAGGUUUAUGUAAUGUUGUGUGAUGAUAACAAUUAACUCCGUUGUCGCGUCAACACUUGAGACAUUACAGUGAGCUUAAAAAGCUUUAAGCCAACUUCAAAUAAAAAAUCGUUCUAUCCAAAA
Molecule: long non-coding RNA, 1412 nt
Organism: Bombyx mori (domestic silkworm)
Lineage: Eukaryota; Metazoa; Arthropoda; Insecta; Lepidoptera; Bombycidae
Exons: 2
Source: RefSeq, a predicted model, not a curated record